UUUAAAGAGUGCGUAAUAGCUCACUGGUCAAGCGUCCUUGCGCCGAAAAUGUACGGGACUAAGCAUCACGCCGAAGACAUGGGCUCCGUAAGGAGCGGUAGGGGAGCGUUGUGUUCUGCAUUGAAGAUAGACUGUAAAGACUAUUGGAGCGUUCACAAGUGAGAAUGCCGGCAUGAGUAGCGAUAAAGGGGGUGAGAUUCCCCCUCGCCGAUAAUCCAAGGGUUCCCCGGCAAGGCCAAUCCGCCGGGGGUUAGUCGGUACCUUAGGU
Molecule: ribosomal RNA, 268 nt
Filed under: Calcidiscus leptoporus
Lineage: Eukaryota; Haptophyta; Coccolithales; Calcidiscaceae
Description: partial Bacterial large subunit ribosomal RNA
Rfam family: Bacterial large subunit ribosomal RNA
Source: RNAcentral